RNAcentral lists this non-coding RNA (26 nucleotides) under Rattus norvegicus (Norway rat). The record is from RNAcentral. Lineage: Eukaryota; Metazoa; Chordata; Mammalia; Rodentia; Muridae.
UCUAGCUGGAAAGGCUUUGAUGUAAC